CCGCCACUAGCUCAUCGGGAAGAGCAGCAACUAAAAGUUGUAGUACGAGGUUCGAGGCCCCGGUGGCGGACCA
RNAcentral lists this transfer RNA (73 nucleotides) under Enterobacter cloacae. RNAcentral's name for it is "tRNA-Phe(aaa)". Lineage: Bacteria; Pseudomonadati; Pseudomonadota; Gammaproteobacteria; Enterobacterales; Enterobacteriaceae. The record is from RNAcentral.